Molecule: ribosomal RNA, 1072 nt
Filed under: Phoma sp. 199
Lineage: Eukaryota; Fungi; Ascomycota; Dothideomycetes; Pleosporales; Didymellaceae
Description: SSU rRNA
Rfam family: Eukaryotic small subunit ribosomal RNA
Source: RNAcentral
UCAUAUGCUUGUCUCAAAGAUUAAGCCAUGCAUGUCUAAGUAUAAGCAAUUAUACCGUGAAACUGCGAAUGGCUCAUUAAAUCAGUUAUCGUUUAUUUGAUAGUACCUUACUACUUGGAUAACCGUGGUAAUUCUAGAGCUAAUACAUGCUGAAAACCCCAACUUCGGGAGGGGUGUAUUUAUUAGAUAAAAAACCAACGCCCUUCCGGGCUUCUUGGUGAUUCAUGAUAACUUUACGGAUCGCAUGGCCUUGCGCCGGCGACGGUUCAUUCAAAUUUCUGCCCUAUCAACUUUCGAUGGUAAGGUAUUGGCUUACCAUGGUUUCAACGGGUAACGGGGAAUUAGGGUUCGAUUCCGGAGAGCGAGCCUGAGAGACGGCUAGCACAUCCAAGGAAGGCAGCAGGCGCGCAAAUUACCCAAUCCCGACACGGGGAGGUAGUGACAAUAAAUACUGAUACAGGGCUCUUUUGGGUCUUGUAAUUGGAAUGAGUACAAUUUAAACCUCUUAACGAGGAACAAUUGGAGGGCAAGUCUGGUGCCAGCAGCCGCGGUAAUUCCAGCUCCAAUAGCGUAUAUUAAAGUUGUUGCAGUUAAAAAGCUCGUAGUUGAAACUUGGGUCUGGCUGGCAGGUCCGCCUCACCGCGUGUACUUGUCCGGCCGGGCCUUCCUUCUGGAGAACCUCAUGCCCUUCACUGGGCGUGUUGGGGACCAGGACUUUUACUUUGAAAAAAUUAGAGUGUUCAAAGCAGGCCUUUGCUCGAAUACGUUAGCAUGGAAUAAUAGAAUAGGACGUGCGGUUCUAUUUUGUUGGUUUCUAGGACCGCCGUAAUGAUUAAUAGGGACAGUCGGGGGCAUCAGUAUUCAAUUGUCAGAGGUGAAAUUCUUGGAUUUAUUGAAGACUAACUACUGCGAAAGCAUUUGCCAAGGAUGUUUUCAUUAAUCAGUGAACGAAAGUUAGGGGAUCGAAGACGAUCAGAUACCGUCGUAGUCUUAACCGUAAACUAUGCCGACUAGGGAUCGGGCGAUGUUCUUUUUUUUGACUCGCUCGGCACCUUACGAGAAAUCAAAGUUU